UAGUGAGAGAACAUUUUGUCCUCUUUUAAGUGUGCUUGCAUGAGAAGCAGAAGUGUCUGUGGUUUUUUGUGUGUGUGUGCAUCGGAGGUCUGAAGGUCAACGUCUGGUUUCGGUCUUGCAGACAGCUCCCACACUGGAAAGUCCCCGCUAUAUAUACAUUUCUUCUUUAUUCUGUUUGUAUAACAUGCCCAUAUUAAGAGUGUCUUCCUUCUUCUGUAUAACUUUUAAAGGUCAGCCCACUAUGUAUAUAUGUCCCUGCCCAUCCUGUAUUUGUCAGGCUUGCAGAAUAAACCAUUCUAACUACAGUUUGGUCUCUUCUCAUGUCUCCGGGUCGACCUGCUGAACUUUGCUGAAUCUGGUGCCUAAUAUAGGGGAAUCUUACAGACUUGGGGGCUUCGUCCGGGAUACAUCUGAUCAGACUCUCUUUGUUUUACAGAUUUUGGGGGCCCCCACAUCAGCUAGCACCUCCACGCAGCAUAACUACUAGAAGGAUCAGCAUGAAGUGGCUAUGGACAUUGGGACUGUUUCUCUUUCUUGUUGCUCAAGCUAAUGCAGCCAGGCUGAAACGCUGGACACAUGAUCAUGAAUUUGGAUGGGCAGAGGAUGGGGCUGACAAUCCAAUUGAAAUAAUAUGUGGUAUCAAUAUGUAAAUGAGUUUUAGCUAGGUCAUAUAAUGUAUCUGGUUGUUAUGUAUGUUCUGUUAUGCCUCAUUCAGCCAAACAAACCCCUCUUUAUGCCAAACCCAUGAAUAAGACCUCUGCUAAAUGUUUUGCCAGUUUUGCAGGAUCAGGGUACCAGGACCCAUAUAUAAUUGUCGAUGACUACGAUCCAUACCGGAUUGGCAUUGGAAAUGGUACAUGUGAUGCUCUAUUUUGGGUAAAAUUUGGCCACGCUAAACCCGCACCUAUUAGCCACAAGGUUUUUAUUAACCAUUCUAUUACACACCCUGUGUGUUAUAACCAGACCAUGGGCUCUCAUUUCAUGGGAAGCACUGUUAACUGUCAACAAAUUGCCUCCUCGGGAGAAGGGGCCCCAGUUUAUGUGUCAGGACCCUCAAACGGCACUUAUGUGGUCCAGGGUGGGUGGUGGUUGUGUGGAAAAAACGCCUACAUGUCCCUACCGGCCAACUGGACGGGGCAGUGUGCCCCUGUGCAUGUGACUGAUCACACUUUUAUUGUGACAGCCCAGGUCCUGUCAGCGCAGCGAAGAGUUAAACGCAGUGUCCCUGAAAUGAAGCCCCAUGACUCUGUAUGGGGUACUGACGUGCCCGAGGAUUUUAAAUUAUGGACCACUGGUAACAAAGUGGUAUUGGCUCUAUUUCCGCAAAUAGGUGUGGGAAAAGCUCUACUAAGAAUUGAGACCCUGGACUAUCGCAUGGGCCUAUUCCUGAAUGCCUCAAAAAUAAUUAAUGAGGCCCAGAAUAAGGAGCUGGGUAAUCUACGUACCAUGGUUUUGCAAAAUAGAAUGGCUCUAGAUCUCUUAACAGCAUCCCAGGGGGAGGUAUGUAAAUGAGUACUGCUAUGUCUACUCUCCAAGGGUUAAAAAUUGCCAUGACUUCAGAUUAUGUUCCCGACACAACUUGGGGUUAGAUGAUGGGUCUGUUCGGCUGGGUAACUCCUUUCCUUACUAUGAUAAUUCCUGUAUGUAUUAUUUUCCUUCUUGUUUGUUGUUGUGGUCCUUUUCUCUUGCAAUGUUUAAUGAAUCGAAUCUAUGCCACAAUGGACAGUAUGAUGGGUCAACGAUAUGAUAAGAUUCCUCUGUGUUAGGCCUUUGGCCUAAAAGAGGGGACUGAGAGAACAUUUUGUCCUCUUUUAAGUGUGCUUCCAUGAGAAGCAGAAGUGUCUGUGGUUUUUUGUGUGUGUGUGCAUCGGAGGUCUGAAGGUCAACGUCUGGUUUCGGUCUUGCAGACAGCUCCCACACUGGAAAGUCCCCGCUAUAUAUACAUUUCUUCUUUACUCUGUUUGUAUAACAUGCCCAUAUUAAGAGUGUCUUCCUUCUUCUGUAUAACUUUUAAAGGUCAGCCCACUAUGUAUAUAUGUCCCUGCCCAUCCUGUAUUUGUCAGGCUUGCAGAAUAAACCAUUCUAACUACA
This 2091-nucleotide long non-coding RNA is filed under the name Danio rerio (zebrafish). Its description in RNAcentral is "lncRNA si:dkey-193e13.8 (ENSDARG00000097553.2)". Lineage: Eukaryota; Metazoa; Chordata; Actinopteri; Cypriniformes; Danionidae. The record is from RNAcentral.